CGAAAGCCUGACGGAGCAAGACCGCGUGGGGGAAGUAGGCUCUUGGGUUGUAAACCCCUUUUCUCUGGGAAGAACGCAAUGACGGUACCAGAGGAAUCAGCAUCGGCUAACUCCGUGCCAGCAGCCGCGGUAAGACGGAGGAUGCAAGCGUUAUCCGGAAUGAUUGGGCGUAAAGCGUCCGCAGGUGGCAGUUCAAGUCUGCUGUCAAAGACCGGGGCUCAACCUCGGAAAGGCAGUGGAAACUGAACAGCUAGAGUAUGGUAGGGGCAAAGGGAAUUCCCGGUGUAGCGGUGAAAUGCGUAGAGAUCAGGAAGAACAUCGGUGGCGAAGGCGCUUUGCUGGACCAUAACUGACACUCAGGGACGAAAGCUAGGGGAGCG
Molecule: ribosomal RNA, 380 nt
Filed under: Lyngbya sp. CCAP 1446/10
Lineage: Bacteria; Bacillati; Cyanobacteriota; Cyanophyceae; Oscillatoriales; Microcoleaceae
Description: bacterial SSU rRNA
Rfam family: Bacterial small subunit ribosomal RNA
Source: RNAcentral